Molecule: long non-coding RNA, 942 nt
Organism: Anguilla rostrata (American eel)
Lineage: Eukaryota; Metazoa; Chordata; Actinopteri; Anguilliformes; Anguillidae
Exons: 3
Source: RefSeq, a predicted model, not a curated record
UUAUGUCUGUGACAUAUUCAGAUAUAGCCUAGACAUUGAGCUCUGAGCUCAAUGCGCACGGUUGUGGAAGUGUUGCAGUUUUCAGAAAGACAGAAGUGUCUCAAUGAGGCCCUGGCUGACUCCUUAUGCAUGCAAGAGUGAGAGAGGAAGUGGUUACUGCAGUGAAACCGCAAGGUAACCAGCGGUUUCUGGUAGUCACGUGAUCGUACCCCUCCCUCACGUUUUCAGUGCAGAUCCAAAGGCCCUCUACACCAUCAACAGGGCUUUUCGAGGGCCCUCCCCCCAUUUGGGCCCUGGGUAGUCAGUCCCACUUUUCCCCCCCACACCGCCAGCGUUGCUGCUGCGGCGCUGCUACUGCCAGCCCUAUCUUUCUACAUUGAGUUUGCCUUUGAUAAUGGCCAUCAAUAAUAGAAUGUUUGAUUUCAUUUCAUUAUAAUUAUAGCCUACAUUGGGUUUCUGCUAUGACUAUAUAGUACACAUGCAGCCUCCACUUUCUCCUUUAAUAACAUGCAAUUGCUAAAAGUUUUUAAAAAUAAUAUUUAUAUUUUUUUUAUGUCUGUGACAUAUUCAGAUAUAGCCUAGACAUUGAGCUCUGAGCUCAAUGCGCACGGUUGUGGAAGUGUUGCAGUUUUCAGAAAGACAGAAGUGUCUCAAUGAGGCCCUGGCUGACUCCUUAUGCAUGCAAGAGUGAGAGAGGAAGUGGUUACUGCAGUGAAACCGCAAGGUAACCAGCAGUUUCUGGCAGUGACGUGAUCGUUCCCCUCCCUCACAUUUUCAGUGCAGAUCCAAAGGCCCUCUACACCAUCAACAGGGCUUUUCGAGGGCCCUCCCCCCAUUCGGGCCCUGGGUAGUCAGUCCCACUUUUCCCCUCACUACGACGCCCCUGCGGAGAAUCACGGAGCUGGAGAGGAGAAUGCCUGUCCUCCACCAGGUUCAAAAAAG